AUGAACGCUGGCGGCGUGCUUAACACAUGCAAGUCGAACGAUUAAAGCUCACUUCGGUGAGUGUAUAGAGUGGCGAACGGGUGAGUAACACGUGGGAAACCUGCCCCUUUCUUCGGGAUAACUUCGGGAAACCGUUGCUAAUACCGGAUACUCCGGGAUGGUCGCAUGGCCGACCCGGGAAAGCUUUAUGUGGAAAGGGAUGGUCCCGCGGCCCAUUAGCUUGUUGGUGGGGUAAUGGCCUACCAAGGCAAUGAUGGGUAGCCG
RNAcentral lists this ribosomal RNA (264 nucleotides) under uncultured bacterium. RNAcentral describes it as "partial 16S ribosomal RNA". It matches the Rfam family "Bacterial small subunit ribosomal RNA", at positions 29 to 289 of the family's 1533-position model. The record is from RNAcentral.